This 253-nucleotide ribosomal RNA is filed under the name uncultured bacterium. RNAcentral's name for it is "partial 16S ribosomal RNA". It matches the Rfam family "Bacterial small subunit ribosomal RNA", at positions 524 to 776 of the family's 1533-position model. The record is from RNAcentral.
UACGUAGGUGGCAAGCGUUGUCCGGAUUUACUGGGUGUAAAGGGCGUGUAGCCGGGAAGGCAAGUCAGAUGUGAAAUCCGGAGGCUCAACCUCCGAAUUGCAUUUGAAACUGUUUUUCUUGAGUACUGGAGAGGCAGACGGAAUUCCUUGUGUAGCGGUGAAAUGCGUAGAUAUAAGGAGGAACACCAGUGGCGAAGGCGGUCUGCUGGACAGCAACUGACGGUGAGGCGCGAAAGCGUGGGGAGCAAACGGG